AACCUCCUUCAGAGUCCACUAAGAUCCUUCGCCAUACUUAUCCAAAAAAAAAAAAAAAAAUCCUUCGCGAUAGACCUAGGCUUCAUCACCUUAGCGAUCUCAAUGACAUCGUCGAGCGAGAUAUUACCGUUGUGCUUGAUGUUCUUCGUCUUCUUCCGGUCGCGCUCCGGCUCCUUCAGCGCCUUGAUGACUAGUGCGGCGGCGGAGGGCACCACGGACACCUCACACCUUGGCCUGACGGUUCUGGACCGUUAGCUUGAUCAUUACGCGGAGAUCGGCAACGGCAUAAGUGAGAUCGGCGACGGUAGUCUUCCGAGGAUGUUGAGCACGACGUCGUCUGGGAUGCUCCAUUGGAGAAUCGGUGGGUUCAUCGUUUGGGACACAAACAAAAGGAGUAUUACUUGGGGUACUUAGGUACAGACACAUAAACAAUGCCGUUGAUUCGAGGAUCAGAAUUUAGAUCAGACUAAAACGUUGACUUAAUCUUGACUUGUGAAUAGUCCUCUUUUCGCUAUUGAAGCUUCCUUUUGUAAUUUUUUUUUUUUUUUUUUUACUCGAUAAUUUGGGAGAUUGGGAUUUAUAUAUAAUAGUAAGACUCUUUUAAGUUAAA
Long non-coding RNA from Quercus robur (English oak), 610 nucleotides. RefSeq lists it as uncharacterized. The transcript is spliced from 2 exons. The record is from RefSeq and is a predicted model, not a curated record. Lineage: Eukaryota; Viridiplantae; Streptophyta; Magnoliopsida; Fagales; Fagaceae.